RNAcentral lists this long non-coding RNA (1291 nucleotides) under Anser brachyrhynchus (Pink-footed goose). RNAcentral's name for it is "lncRNA (ENSABRG00000016546.1)". Lineage: Eukaryota; Metazoa; Chordata; Aves; Anseriformes; Anatidae. The record is from RNAcentral.
ACAGUCCUAAUCUUAAAUAUUUCCUGGUUUAAAAAAUAACUUACCUUUCUAAUAUUUGUUUUCAUUCCUAAUAUGAGUGAGACCAGACUUCGCCAAAUUUUUUAUUUUUCUGAAGAGAGAAGGGGAAGAAGAGCUGUUUCCAAAGUAAAACAGUGAUGUCUGCGGCCCCUGGAGAAUCUGCAAGGUUCUGCUGUCCUGGAGCCAUAAGAAAACUGAGACUGCACCAGAAAGAAAAAUUGCACCAUUUUAUAGUGCUCCUCAACUCCUGUUUCUUCAGUUCUGAGUCAAACACAGAAGUGUCAUUAGUUGGGACCCCCAAAUCAGUUCAGUUCUAAAUAGUUGAGAAACUACUUCCAUAAUUGUCAAAAAGCUAAAGAAUCCAAGUCUUAACUAUUAGAUACUUGUGGGGGAACAAAAUAAAAAAUAAAAAAAAUGUUCCCAGAGACAGGACAUCUGUUGUGCAAUUACUUUCAAAGCAGGUUAAAUUUACUUUUAGCUUGAUUAUAUUCAGAUCCAGAGGUAGAACCCACCCCCUUUUUUCUUCUGGUUUCCUGCUAUUGUUGCUGCAGCUGUAUAUUCUUCCUUUUCACUUUGUGAUUUCAUUAAAGAGCUAAGGUGUGACUCUUGGCUUAAAAUUGUAUUAAAAUUGUGAAUGUUGGUUUUGAAUAAUUUUACUACCUGAGGAUCAUUAUCAAAGUGACUGUUUCUUCUUAAGAAUGGAGCUUUUCAAAAUGGUAAGAAAAUACUACUGCAUGACUGAUUUGGUGAACAUGUUACUUUUAUAAUGGAGAAUAGAGCUGACCACUUUUUGGCAUUAAACACAGCUGACCUAUACUCUAAAGCUGUUUCUAUGGCUCUGUCCGUGUGUCUCAAAUGGAAAUCUUCAACACUGCAAAAGAAUGAAUGCAUGCAUGAAAACCCAGAUCCAUGCAGAAAUAGCAGAUCAGGAAGAUCUGUGUAUGUAACUGGAAUUGUGCAGUGUGAACUGGCAUUUAAGCUUAAGUUGCACUAAAUAUUGGGUCUGGUUUAUAGUGCAACAGGAGAGUGUUCCAAAGCUACAUUUACCUGGAGUAUCGCUGUGCUUGGAAGAUGUCAUCGCUACCUCAAAAUCAUAUGUAUAAAACCAGAACAGCCCUCACAGUCUGCAAUUUCAGGUAUAUCUGAUCACAGUAUAACAGUAUAACAUAUCAGUUUAUAGAAUUUUAUUUCAAAAUUUUAUCAUGUUGCUGAAGCUAAAAAAAUUGAGCAAAGCUAUCACAGUUAAGGUGAAGAAGGGUUACAUAUAUUUACA